AUAAUUAUCUGGCAAGGAAUACACCAGGAUCAUGAAGGUGAUUUUCCCAGGGUGAAGCUUAUCCGUUGCACUCCGGAUGUGCCCUGCCGGUUUCCCCAAAUGUGGGAAACUUUACUGCAUAAUUUGUGGUACAAAC
Molecule: small nuclear RNA, 136 nt
Organism: Loxodonta africana (African savanna elephant)
Lineage: Eukaryota; Metazoa; Chordata; Mammalia; Proboscidea; Elephantidae
Gene: U1
Rfam family: U1 spliceosomal RNA
About the family: U1 is a small nuclear RNA (snRNA) component of the spliceosome (involved in pre-mRNA splicing). Its 5' end forms complementary base pairs with the 5' splice junction, thus defining the 5' donor site of an intron. There are significant differences in sequence and secondary structure between metazoan and yeast U1 snRNAs, the latter being much longer (568 nucleotides as compared to 164 nucleotides in human).
Source: Ensembl